Molecule: long non-coding RNA, 1543 nt
Organism: Oreochromis niloticus (Nile tilapia)
Lineage: Eukaryota; Metazoa; Chordata; Actinopteri; Cichliformes; Cichlidae
Exons: 4
Source: RefSeq, a predicted model, not a curated record
UGUGGUUCUACUGGUGUUAUUGGUUCUGCUGGUGAGACGAUGUGUUCACAGGAAACCUGAAGAUGAAGAACAAGACGGAGAAGAUGACAUCACCAGCAAAAUCACAUACAGUGACAUCAACAUAUCAGCGCGUAUAAAACUACCAAUCAAAGCACAGAGAGAGACAGAUUCAGCUGUGGUCUACUCAGCAGUGACAACUGAAGAUGUCUGUUAUGGACAAACAACCAUCAGAAUAAGGAGGCCCAGACUUUAAACCAGAGCCAGACGUCGUCUACUCUUCACUGAAGUAGUCCACCAGUCCAACCACUGACUGCUGAGGGAUACACUAUGAAUGAAGUUCAAUGCACACAAGAUUUCUUUGCAUUAGCUAGCUCGAAUAAAAGUAAAAACCCAGUUGGAGAUAUCAGGUAUCAUGCAACUGAUUAACAAAUUUCAUUGUUAAGCUGGGCUGUCUGCUUCAGGUUUUGUUCACUUUUACAAAACAAGGGCUGCCACAACAAAGUCAUGUGACUGUUCUCCCAAACAAUAUGAUCCCUGUGAGUGCCGCCCAUUCCAAUCAAGGACAAUAUUACAUAAUGAAAAUAAAAUGUUGAUUAAAAAUCUAUACAUAACAAAAUUAUAAAAGUAAAAUGCAAUACUGUUGCAAGUAAGACAAGAUUACUCCUGGAUUACAAUUGGUGAAAAUCGCUAAUCUGGUGAUUUAGCAUACUGGGCCAUGAACAUGAGAUGUUUCCUGAUGACUUUAAAUUGAUUUUAAUUAAAUCUGAACAUAACCUGUUCAGGGGCAGGUUAUGUGUUCAGCUUAACGUAUCACUGAUGUAACACUUUUACCACCGGCUCAUGUAACAAAACCCACCUUAUGCCUUCGGGUGAAGUCUUAACCCUGGUUAAACAUUCUGUGAUAAAAGAUACAUCUCGAAAAGUAAAUAUCAGUCUAGGGUAUCGUAUGAUUCUCACGUCUAAAUAAUCAAUUGGAGGCUAUGGGAAAUACACUUGGCCUGUAAACGCUUAUGUAUCUGAAUACUUAAAUGUUAAAACACCAUGCAAUAAAACCAACACAAGAUCUCAGGUUUAGAAAAUGUAUUAAACAUUUGCAGGAAAUUCACAUUGAAACCCUUUUUUUUAUGAAGAAGAACGAAUAUAGAAAAUAAAAUAGAACCCCGGGGGAUAGGUUUUAGUCUUUCUUUCCUCAAACUGUCCAAUUUUAUUUUGAGUGCACUCUUAGUCUAUUUUUGUUGGCGCGCUUUAGUUGGAGCUCGUUGUAAUAACGAUACCUCUGUGUAUCCGUGAAGUCUUGGCCGCAUCCGAUGAAUCACUCGCUCGUUGCGGUAGCAACCGUCUCCGCUCGCAGCAGCGAGCAACGAAUCUCCGGUUCCCUCAGUAGUAGCGAAUCGUCCUCCGUCAACGUCUCUCUCCCGAGGCGACUCUCAAAACUCCUUCUGUCCGCUCAGGCGGUAUCCCCUUCAGCAAGGACCGUGACGUUAGCCUAGCUCCGGCUAGCUAACGUAACCAAACUUGCCUCGUGCUCACCCAGCACAAAUGG